This 2884-nucleotide unclassified non-coding RNA is filed under the name Hevea brasiliensis (rubber tree). Lineage: Eukaryota; Viridiplantae; Streptophyta; Magnoliopsida; Malpighiales; Euphorbiaceae. The record is from RNAcentral.
CUAUCCGCUCGGUGGCUUUAAUAAGCUCCUUCGCACUAGAGAAGCUCAUCAGCUCAGUCACUUUCCCUAGUUUUUCCUCUACAGCGGCUCUCAUUCGCUUCUCAAAUGGCUAAUUCCAAAACCCACAAGAGUGUUCUGCUAAUUUGCGGUGAUUACAUGGAGGAGUAUGAGGUUAGAUUCCCUUAAUUUCUCGAUUGCUAAUGGCUAAUUGUUUUUUUUUCCUUAAUAUGUUGUUUGUUGUCGCAGGCGAUGGUUCCUUUCCAAGCACUGCAGGCUUAUGGAAUCGAUGUUGAUGCUGCCUGCCCUGGGAAGAAAGCCGGCGAGUUUUGCCGUACUGCCGUUCACGAGCCUGCUGGUUAUCAGGUCUUCUCUUUGUCCUUUUAUAGAAGGCGAGAAUUUUCCCUUUUGUUUUUACAUUUUUUUUUUUGAAGUUGAAUGCUUUUUUAUUUCUUAAUGUUGAUUGUUAGUAAUUUAGGGCUAGUUUUAUUUUUACUCUCUAUUGCUUUGGUGUUUCUUAGUUGUAAUAGAUGCCGGUUCAUUAAGUGGGAAUGCAACUGUUAAUAGGUUUCUAUUUUAUUGAUUACCCUUCUUGCAGUAUAUGAUAGAGUUGGAUUUGGAUAUUGAUUUUUAUUACUAAAAUUAUUCUUCAUCACAAAACACGUAUGGUGUUAUAAUCUGAUCAGCCUUCUGGUAAUGGUGGAAGUACUGCUGGUGGUAAUUUGAAUCAUGAAGUGUGCAAGUGGUUUGCUAUACUGAAUGUGCAUAAUAUAUUAAGUGGUGGACGGAAAACGUUUAUCUAACACAUUUAAAAUGAUUAAAUAUUGGAGUUUAAAUUCUCAACUCUGAACUGGGUCUUCCAACAUGCCUUUUCUCUUCAUAGAGGAGACUUGUGUAAAUUUAAUAGUUCUAUGGUAGAUGAAAAGGUUAAGACUUGGUUGAAAGAGCCUUUUCCUUUUUGUCUUUUCUCCGUACCCUGGCCUAGGCUUUGUUCUUUUGUUCUUCCUUCUAUCUCCAUGAUUCUGUUCCUCCUAUUUCUGUAUUAGUUUUUUUGUCAUCAUUACCUCCAUCAUGAGAAUAACUCAAAAGUGAGCUGUUCAUGAGCUGAUUUUGGGUUAACUGAUGAAAAUUUUUCAUUUCAGUCUUGUAGGUGUAUAUCUACUGAUUGAAUGAAGUAAAAACACAAUAUAUUGAAUUCAUUUCCUUGUUUUUGAUGCUAGACAUAUACCGAGUCACCUGGGCACAACUUUUCUCUCAAUGCAACGUUUGAUGAAAUUGAUUUUGGCAAAUAUGAUGGGUUGGUGAUACCGGGAGGAAGGGCUCCAGAAUAUCUUGCCAUGAAUGAAUCUGUGUUAGAUUGUGUCAGGAAAUUUGCAGAUGCUGGAAAGCCAAUUGCCUCUGUUUGCCAUGGACAAAUAAUCUUGGCAGCUGCAGGCUGUGUAAAAGGUCGGAAGUGUACUGCUUACUCUCCUGUGAAACCCUUACUUAUCGCUGCUGGUGCUCAUUGGAUUGAAGACCAAACCAUGGCAACUUGUGUUGCUGAUGGCAAUAUAAUUACUGGGGCUACAUAUGUUGGCAAUCCUGAGUUUAUUCGGCUUUUUGUGAAGGCUUUAGGAGGUACCAUAACUGGUUCAAAUAAAAGGAUUCUAUUUCUCUGUGGGGUAAGUUGUAAUUACUUGCCUGAUUUGAGUAGAUAAAGAGGCUGAUCACUGGAUUUCUUCUUCUUCUUCUUUUAAUAUUUCUGUAACAUUCCUGAGAUAUUGAAUUAACAUAAAUAUUUAAAAAUAGCAGACAACAUAAAAAUCAUUAAGAGUUAAUGGACAAUCAUUUAAAAUAGCAGAGACACCAUACAAGAUACAUAAUCUGGAAAAGUGUUAAAAUUCUAGCCUGUUUCCUAUUCAUGCCUAAGGAGACUUCUGAUAAUUCUAGUUUGAAUGUGCCAUGCCAGAGUUGAAAAAUGAAAUUGCUUUUCACUCUUUUUGGAACAAUUCCUUUGAUAAAGUUCAAUUUAGAUGGAUUUACGAUAGAGCCAUGUGUUCAGAAUAAAUGUUAAGGUAAUAGAAUUUAUUUGAAUUCUAUUGUUUGGAAUAUUUGAAAAGUGAAAUUAAUGUAUUUGUUUUCCAAAUUACCCCAUUUAUAAAUGGACAACUAAACUUUAAAUAAGGGGUAUCACGAGGUUUUAAAUAGUGAAUCUCAUUAAAUGAAUUGAACUUUUGCGAAAUCAGUACAUUUUGGCUUUAUUUUUUUACUUUUUCAAAAUGGCUUCUUUUUUAAUUUGAAUUCUGGAAACCAUAUGAUUUUCAAACACAAGAAUUAGCCAAAUAAAAUACAAUUGUGUUAGAUUCUGACUUAUAACACAUUUUAUUCACUUUCUCCUUAGUUUAUAAAAGACAACCCAUUUGAGGAGUCUUAGGCAUUGGAAUCACCUGGAAAUGCACAUUUUCACUUUAUGCUGUUAUGAGUGUGAAUAGCCAUGUAGCAUUUUCGUGAUAAACCUCCAUCAUGUGCAAAAGCUGGAUGGUUAUGCAGCCUCUUGCUUGUAAGUAAUUUGUAACACCUUCAGGCCAUCCAUACUAGCUACCCCAUGUUGUAGAUUAGGGGGCCAAGUUACCCAAGUUUGUCUGGUUCUACUGGAUUGGCUCUAAACAGUUACUAUAUGAGUGACUCUAAUGGUGGGUCCAUCUAAUGCAUGGGAGGUGUGACUGUAAUAAUGUCGCAUGGAGCUAAUAAAUUCCUCCUGUGUUUGAAUACCUGUUAGUCAUUUGAUUUUAAAACUCUGGACUAGGAUCAAGGAUUUACUAAGUUUGAUUGCCAAAUGGUCAAGGAGAAACAGAUUUUUUUUUUUGAUAAAUAACAGAUUCCUUAUUAUUCUUGUAAUUUUGAGUUA